AUUGAACGCUGGCGGCAGGCCUAACACAUGCAAGUCGAACGGAGUGGCGGACGGGUGAGUAAUGUCUGGGAAACUGCCAGAUGGAGGGGGAUAACUACUGGAAACGGUAGCUAAUACCGCAUACUAUCAGAUGAGCCUAGGUGGGAUUAGCUAGAUGGUGAGGUAAUGGCUCACCAAGGCUACGAUCCGUAACUGGUCUGAGAGGAUGAUCAGUCACACUGGAACGGAGACACGGUCCAGACUCCUACGGGAGGCAGCAGUGGGGAAUAUUGGACAAUGGGCGAAAGCCUGAUCCAGCCAUGCCGCGUGUGUGAAGAAGGUCUUCGGAUUGUAAAGCACUUUAAGUUGGGAGGCGUUACCGACAGAAUAAGCACCGGCUAACUCUGUGCCAGCAGCCGCGGUAAUAC
RNAcentral lists this ribosomal RNA (407 nucleotides) under uncultured bacterium. RNAcentral describes it as "partial 16S ribosomal RNA". It matches the Rfam family "Bacterial small subunit ribosomal RNA", at positions 30 to 526 of the family's 1533-position model. The record is from RNAcentral.